RNAcentral lists this ribosomal RNA (1522 nucleotides) under metagenome. RNAcentral's name for it is "bacterial SSU rRNA". It matches the Rfam family "Bacterial small subunit ribosomal RNA". The record is from RNAcentral.
AGAGUUUGAUCAUGGCUCAGAUUGAACGCUGGCGGCAGGCCUAACACAUGCAAGUCGAACGGUAACAGGAAACAGCUUGCUGUUUCGCUGACGAGUGGCGGACGGGUGAGUAAUGUCUGUGAAACUGCCUGAUGGAGGGGGAUAACUACUGGAAACGGUAGCUAAUACCGCAUAACGUCGCAAGACCAAAGAGGGGGACCUUCGGGCCUCUUGCCAUCAGAUGUGCCCAGAUGGGAUUAGCUAGUAGGUGGGGUAACGGCUCACCUAGGCGACGAUCCCUAGCUGGUCUGAGAGGAUGACCAGCCACACUGGAACUGAGACACGGUCCAGACUCCUACGGGAGGCAGCAGUGGGGAAUAUUGCACAAUGGGCGCAAGCCUGAUGCAGCCAUGCCGCGUGUAUGAAGAAGGCCUUCGGGUUGUAAAGUACUUUCAGCGGGGAGGAAGGGAGUAAAGUUAAUACCUUUGCUCAUUGACGUUACCCGCAGAAGAAGCACCGGCUAACUCCGUGCCAGCAGCCGCGGUAAUACGGAGGGUGCAAGCGUUAAUCGGAAUUACUGGGCGUAAAGCGCACGCAGGCGGUUUGUUAAGCCAGAUGUGAAAUCCCCGGGCUCAACCUGGGAACUGCAUCUGAUACUGGCAAGCUUGAGUCUCGUAGAGGGGGGUAGAAUUCCAGGUGUAGCGGUGAAAUGCGUAGAGAUCUGGAGGAAUACCGGUGGCGAAGGCGGCCCCCUGGACGAAGACUGACGCUCAGGUGCGAAAGCGUGGGGAGCAAACAGGAUUAGAUACCCUGGUAGUCCACGCCGUAAACGAUGUCGACUUGGAGGUUGUGCCCUUGAGGCGUGGCUUCCGGAGCUAACGCGUUAAGUCGACCGCCUGGGGAGUACGGCCGCAAGGUUAAAACUCAAAUGAAUUGACGGGGGCCCGCACAAGCGGUGGAGCAUGUGGUUUAAUUCGAUGCAACGCGAAGAACCUUACCUGGUCUUGACAUCCACGGAAGUUUUCAGAGAUGAGAAUGUGCCUUCGGGAACCGUGAGACAGGUGCUGCAUGGCUGUCGUCAGCUCGUGUUGUGAAAUGUUGGGUUAAGUCCCGCAACGAGCGCAACCCUUAUCCUUUGUUGCCAGCGGUCCGGCCGGGAACUCAAAGGAGACUGCCAGUGAUAAACUGGAGGAAGGUGGGGAUGACGUCAAGUCAUCAUGGCCCUUACGACCAGGGCUACACACGUGCUACAAUGGCGCAUACAAAGAGAAGCGACCUCGCGAGAGCAAGCGGACCUCAUAAAGUGCGUCGUAGUCCGGAUUGGAGUCUGCAACUCGACUCCAUGAAGUCGGAAUCGCUAGUAAUCGUGGAUCAGAAUGCCACGGUGAAUACGUUCCCGGGCCUUGUACACACCGCCCGUCACACCAUGGGAGUGGGUUGCAAAAGAAGUAGGUAGCUUAACCUUCGGGAGGGCGCUUACCACUUUGUGAUUCAUGACUGGGGUGAAGUCGUAACAAGGUAACCGUAGGGGAACCUGCGGUUG